GACGAACGCUGGCGGCGCGCCUAACACAUGCAAGUCGAACGGGGUGCGUUCGAAUGAAGUUUUCGGAUGGAAUUUGGACGUACCUAGUGGCGAACGGGUGAGUAACACGUGAAUAACCUGCCCUGGAGUGGGGGACAACAGUUGGAAACGACUGCUAAUACCGCAUAAGCGCACGGUAUCGCAUGGUACAGUGUGAAAAACUCCGGUGGUAUGAGAUGGACCCGCGUCUGAUUAGCCAGUUGGUGGGUAACGGCCUACCAAAGCGACGAUCAGUAGCCGACCUGAGAGGGUGACCGGCCACAUUGGGACUGAGACACGGCCCAAAACUCCUACGGGAGGCAGCAGUGGGGAAUAUUGCACAAUGGGGGAAACCCUGAUGCAGCGACGCCGCGUGAACGAAGAAGUAUUUCGGUAUGUAAAGUUCAUCAGCAGGGAAGAUAAUGACGGUACCUGACUAAGAAGCAACCGGCUAAAAUACGUG
RNAcentral lists this ribosomal RNA (481 nucleotides) under uncultured bacterium. RNAcentral describes it as "bacterial SSU rRNA". It matches the Rfam family "Bacterial small subunit ribosomal RNA", at positions 28 to 507 of the family's 1533-position model. The record is from RNAcentral.